RNAcentral lists this ribosomal RNA (191 nucleotides) under uncultured prokaryote. RNAcentral's name for it is "partial 16S ribosomal RNA". It matches the Rfam family "Bacterial small subunit ribosomal RNA", at positions 524 to 714 of the family's 1533-position model. The record is from RNAcentral.
UACGAAGGGUGCAAGCGUUGCUCGGAAUUAUUGGGCGUAAAGGGUUGGUAGGUGGUUACGUAUGUCUGGGGUGAAAUCCCUGAGCUCAACUCAGGACGUGCCUUGGAAACGGCGUAACUAGAGUGCUAGAGAGGUUCGUGGAAUUCCAGGUGUAGCGGUGAAAUGCGUAGAGAUCAGGAGGAACAUCAGAG